Molecule: long non-coding RNA, 984 nt
Organism: Antechinus flavipes (yellow-footed antechinus)
Lineage: Eukaryota; Metazoa; Chordata; Mammalia; Dasyuromorphia; Dasyuridae
Exons: 3
Source: RefSeq, a predicted model, not a curated record
GAGGCGGGCAAGGCUUUGGGGGCGUGUCCCCUGGACGUGAGUGACAAGGUAGUGGGGGGAAAUGGGGCGGAGAAGAGGCAAAAAUCCCUGACUUGGCUGGUUUGUGGGGCAGGUUGAGAGGCCGCUGCGCUGGUGGACGAAAGACCAGGCUUUUAAAGCUCUCCCUUCCCUGCCCCGUUUAUUUCUUCUUCCUGCCCCAACACUCUCCACUGAAAUCGGAGCAGGCUGAAUUGAGUGAUUGAAAGACUCUAUGCAGAUACUGGUGGCUGUGGAAAGUCGUUGCCUGCCUUCUGAGAAAAAACAAAACAAAACAGUGAAAUGAAGGAAAUUCAGUCAACCCAACUUAGCAACAGGGAUGAAAGGCUGAUGAUUUCUUGGAGAAUGUGUCUAAUUAAAGAACCUGGAGAUGUAAUGACUAUAACACCUUCCUGAAAAGGGGAGAGAAAACAGCAAGAGCAACUGUGAACAUGGUGAGGAAACUGAGGCAGAAAGCAGUUAGAUGUUUCACCCAGGGAACAUAGCCACAAAUUGUCUCAAGAAUAAAAUUUGGAUCUUUUGGACUAUCAAUUCAACGCUUUCAUACAGAAGGUAAAAGAGAAUUAUAAUAAACAUCUCUAAAAUCUAUUACCAUUCUAUCAAUGGUAAUUGAUAGCCUUGAUGUCAUAUUGCUUCUCUCUGUACUUUGCGUACUAAAUAUGAUAAUUUGCUGUCCUCCAGAUUUGCCCUAUACUUUUCUGUAUCUGAAGCCCUGGCCACUUGAUUCCCUCUACCUGGAAUGCCCUCUUUCACUUUGAGUCAGCUUCAAAUGCUAUCUAGCUAACUUUCUGACCUACCUGGUCUAAAAUGACAUCUGCUCCUACACAACUCUUGAUGCACAUAGUUUUCAGCUCUUGUAGAGUCAUAUAAUUUUGAAGUUUUAAAAUCAUGUUCAAUGUAAUUGUAGAAAAAUAUGAUCACACAAAAUGAGAAAUGAGAAAUAAGAUA